Molecule: ribosomal RNA, 301 nt
Filed under: uncultured bacterium
Lineage: Bacteria
Description: partial 16S ribosomal RNA
Rfam family: Bacterial small subunit ribosomal RNA
Source: RNAcentral
CAGCAGCCACGGGAAUACGUAGGUGGCAAGCGUUGUCCGGAAUUAUUGGGCGUAAAGCGCGCGCAGGCGGAUCGGUCAGUCUGUCUUAAAAGUUCGGGGCUUAACCCCGUGAUGGGAUGGAAACUGCCAAUCUAGAGUAUCGGAGAGGAAAGUGGAAUUCCUAGUGUAGCGGUGAAAUGCGUAGAUAUUAGGAAGAACACCAGUGGCGAAGGCGACUUUCUGGACGAAAACUGACGCUGAGGCGCGAAAGCCAGGGGAGCGAACGGGAUUAGAUACCCGCGUAGUCCCUGUCUCUUAUACA